GUCUACAGCCAUGCCACCCUGAACAUGCCAGAUCUUGUCUGAUCUUGGAAGCUAAGCUAGGUCGGGCCUGGUUUGUACUUGGAUGGGAGAUCACCUAGGAAUAGCAGGUGCUGCAGGCA
Molecule: ribosomal RNA, 119 nt
Filed under: Pteropus alecto (black flying fox)
Lineage: Eukaryota; Metazoa; Chordata; Mammalia; Chiroptera; Pteropodidae
Source: RNAcentral